This 254-nucleotide ribosomal RNA is filed under the name uncultured bacterium. RNAcentral describes it as "partial 16S ribosomal RNA". It matches the Rfam family "Bacterial small subunit ribosomal RNA", at positions 524 to 776 of the family's 1533-position model. The record is from RNAcentral.
UACGUAGGGUGCGAGCGUUGUCCGGAAUUAUUGGGCGUAAAGAGCUCGUAGGCGGUGUGUCGCGUCGGCCGUGAAAACCUGGGGCUCAACUCUGGGCGUGCGGUCGAUACGGGCAUCACUUGAGUUCGGCAGGGGAGACUGGAAUUCCUGGUGUAGCGGUGAAAUGCGCAGAUAUCAGGAGGAACACCGGUGGCGAAGGCGGGUCUCUGGGCUGAUACUGACGCUGAGGAGCGAAAGCGUGGGGAGCGAACAGG